Molecule: ribosomal RNA, 473 nt
Filed under: uncultured Acidovorax sp.
Lineage: Bacteria; Pseudomonadati; Pseudomonadota; Betaproteobacteria; Burkholderiales; Comamonadaceae
Description: bacterial SSU rRNA
Rfam family: Bacterial small subunit ribosomal RNA
Source: RNAcentral
UAGAAUUGACGGGACCGCACAAGCGGUGGAUGAUGUGGAUAAUUCGAUGCAACGCGAAAACCUUACCUACCCUUGACAUGUACGGAAUCCUUUAGAGAUAGAGGAGUGCUCGAAAGAGAACCGUAACACAGGUGCUGCAUGGCUGUCGUCAGCUCGUGUCGUGAGAUGUUGGGUUAAGUCCCGCAACGAGCGCAACCCUUGUCAUUAGUUGCUACAUUCAGUUGGGCACUCUAAUGAGACUGCCGGUGACAAACCGGAGGAAGGUGGGGAUGACGUCAAGUCCUCAUGGCCCUUAUAGGUGGGGCUACACACGUCAUACAAUGGAUGGUACAAAGGGUCGCCAACCCGCGAGGGGGAGCUAAUCCCACAAAGCCGAUCGUAGUCCGGAUCGCAGUCUGCAACUCGACUGCGUGAAGUCGGAAUCGCUAGUAAUCGUGGAUCAGCAUGUCACGGUGAAUACGUUCCCGGGUCUU